RNAcentral lists this small RNA (933 nucleotides) under Pongo abelii (Sumatran orangutan). RNAcentral describes it as "retained intron". Lineage: Eukaryota; Metazoa; Chordata; Mammalia; Primates; Hominidae. The record is from RNAcentral.
GAGAGGAGAGCCUCAGGAGUUAGGACCAGAAGAAGCCAGGGAAGCAGUGCAAUGGCUUCAAAAAUCUUGCUUAACGUACAAGAGGAGGUAUCCUGUCCCAUCUGCCUGGAGCUGUUGACAGAACCCUUGAGUCUAGGCUGUGGCCACAGCCUCUGCCGAGCCUGCAUCACUGUGAGCAACAAGGAGGCAGUGACCAGCCCAGGAGAAAAAAGCAGCUGUCCUGUGUGUGGUAUCAGUUACUCAUUUGAACAUCUACAGGCUAAUCAGCAUCUGGCCAACAUAGUGGAGAGACUCAAGGAGGUCAAGUUGAGCCCAGACAAUGGGAAGAAGAGAGAUCUCUGUGAUCGACAUGGAGAGAAACUCCUACUCUUCUGUAAGGAGGAUAGGAAAGUCAUUUGCUGGCUUUGUGAGCGGUCUCAGGAGCACCGUGGUCACCACACAGUCCUCACAGAGGAAGUAUUCAAGGAAUGUCAGGAGAAACUCCAGGCAGUCCUCAAGAGGCUGAAGAAGGAGGAGGAGGAAGCUGAGAAGCUGGAAGCUGACAUCAGAGAAGAGAAAACUUCCUGGAAGUAUCAGGUACAAACUGAGAGACAAAGGAUACAAAUAGAAUUUGAUCAGCUUAGAAGCAUCCUAAAUAGUGAGGAGCAGAGAGAGCUGCAAAGAUUGGAAGAAGAGGAAAAGCAGACGCUGGAUAAAUUUGCAGAGGCUGAGGAUGAGCUAGUUCAGCAGAAGCAGUUGGUGAGAGAGCUCAUCUCAGAUGUGGAGUGUCGGAGUCAGUGGUCAACAAUGGAGCUGCUGCAGGACAUGAGUGGAAUCAUGAAAUGGUGCGUAUGGGUGGCCAGGAGUGGUGCUUGUGAGUUAUAAAGAAGUGUUUAUAGCUAUUAGAGUUAUUUGAUGGUCAAUCGGAAUAAAAAAUCUCCCAGAGUAGUAAAA